CAGAGUUGCAAAACUCCCACAAACCAUCGCGAAUCUUACCCGUACGGUUGCCUCGGCGCUGGCGGUCCGGAAGGCCCUCGGGCCCCCCCGGAUCCUCGGGUCUCCCGCUCGCGGGAGGCUGCCCCGCCGGAGUGCCGAAACCAAACUCUUGAUAUUUCAUGUCUCUCUGAGUAAAACUUUUAAAUAAGUACA
Molecule: unclassified non-coding RNA, 192 nt
Filed under: soil metagenome
Description: partial internal transcribed spacer 1
Source: RNAcentral